Molecule: ribosomal RNA, 472 nt
Filed under: uncultured bacterium
Lineage: Bacteria
Description: partial 16S ribosomal RNA
Rfam family: Bacterial small subunit ribosomal RNA
Source: RNAcentral
GACGAACGCUGGCGGCGUGCUUAACACAUGCAAGUCGAGCGGAAAGGCCCUUCGGGGUACUCGAGCGGCGAACGGGUGAGUAACACGUGAGUAAUCUGCCCUUGGCUUUGGGAUAACUACCGGAAACGGUGGCUAAUACCGGAUACGACAACCGUCUGCAUGGGCUGGUUGUGGAAAGUUUUUUCGGCCAGGGAUGUGCUCGCGGCCUAUCAGCUUGUUGGUGGGGUAAUGGCCUACCAAGGCUUCGACGGGUAGCCGGCCUGAGAGGGUGACCGGCCACACUGGGACUGAGACACGGCCCAGACUCCUACGGGAGGCAGCAGUGGGGAAUAUUGGACAAUGGGCGGAAGCCUGAUCCAGCAACGCCGCGUGAGGGAUGACGGCCUUCGGGUUGUAAACCUCUUUAAGUACCGACGAAGAGCCGAUGAUGGUGGUGACGGUAGGUACAGAAGAAGCACCGGCCAACUACGUG